UGACAUCAUUGGAACUCAUCCAAAAUGGAGGGAAAACAACUCACCUUGACUGUGGGAACGUCACCUGUGGGCUGCUCCAUCGAUCGAUGCAGCUGAUGGAUGUGAGAGCCGCUGGAGAAUAAACUACAGGGGGAUUCGAGCGGAGAGAUGAGAUUCACACAGCCUUCUGUCUCUGGAGGAUUAUGCUGAAGUCUCUUUUUAAGGCAGGCGGGUUCACUCAGAGGUCAUCGUGGUCCACUGAACAGUCAAGCAUGUUUAUCUGCUGAUUCCGAAUGAGAGAAACCAAACUCUCCAAAUCACUUCCAAAAGCUUCUAUUUCAGCAAAAUAAGCCAAACUACAUUUAUUUUACUGUGUGAUGCUA
Molecule: long non-coding RNA, 362 nt
Organism: Sinocyclocheilus grahami
Lineage: Eukaryota; Metazoa; Chordata; Actinopteri; Cypriniformes; Cyprinidae
Exons: 3
Source: RefSeq, a predicted model, not a curated record